This 253-nucleotide ribosomal RNA is filed under the name uncultured bacterium. RNAcentral describes it as "partial 16S ribosomal RNA". It matches the Rfam family "Bacterial small subunit ribosomal RNA", at positions 524 to 776 of the family's 1533-position model. The record is from RNAcentral.
UACGUAGGGUGCAAGCGUUGUCCGGAAUUAUUGGGCGUAAAGAGCUCGUAGGCGGUCUGUCGCGUCGGCUGUGAAAUCCCGAGGCUCAACCUCGGGUCUGCAGUCGAUACGGGCAAACUAGAGUAUUGCAGGGGAGACUGGAAUUCCUGGUGUAGCGGUGGAAUGCGCAGAUAUCAGGAGGAACACCGGUGGCGAAGGCGGGUCUCUGGGCCGAUACUGACGCUGAGGAGCGAAAGCGUGGGGAGCAAACAGG